GUCAAUAAAAAGCAAAUCUCCAUACGCUCCGGAUCAAUUAAGAGAGGUAUAGCGCUCCCCAUCUCAAAGGCCAGAUUUAAUUGCAUAGGCUCAAUUGUCUCUCCAUCCACAUUGGCAAGCAUCGCAUGAACAAUAUCCUUGGAUACAAAAUACAGAGGUAUGCGUCCCCCUGCCAAUUCGAUCAUUCCAGUUUGCACUUCGUCGAGAAAAGCAAGUGUGUG
RNAcentral lists this long non-coding RNA (221 nucleotides) under Pelobates cultripes (western spadefoot toad). The record is from RNAcentral. Lineage: Eukaryota; Metazoa; Chordata; Amphibia; Anura; Pelobatidae.